This 1018-nucleotide long non-coding RNA is filed under the name Salmo salar (Atlantic salmon). RNAcentral's name for it is "lncRNA (ENSSSAG00000093778.1)". The record is from RNAcentral. Lineage: Eukaryota; Metazoa; Chordata; Actinopteri; Salmoniformes; Salmonidae.
GGCUGAUUAUGUAAAUCCAACCCACAGAGAUGUUGAUUAAAGCUGAGUGACACAGCUGACUUCGCUUACUAAUCAGCAGCCCCGUGGGUUGUGUUCAUUGGGCACCAAACGGUUGAAAAUGGAAUAAAAACAGGGCGGGACUAUCCAACCUGUCCAAUGAGGAACACUAAUUUCCACUCCUCUUUGUAAAAAAAGUUUUAAAAUGUUUUUCUGUUAUGUGUCCUAAUGAACACAACCCUGCUGGGCGUGCAACUCUUCUUUAGGCACAGUCGGGCCAAGAUGUCUUUUGUAAACACAGGACCAGGAAAAAUGGCGUCACAGAGAAAACACAGGUCCUGCAGUAACGAUUCCACCACCGAGUGUCUCCCGCAAGAGCGCUGUGGUACUAGUAGUGGGCGUUUCGGUCCCAUUCACAUCCUGUCUGCACAGGGCUGCUUGACCCCUGACCUCUGUAACUCCACCCAUGCCGUGACCUACCGAGGGGUCAGCUAUAACGUGACAUACAGGUGUUGCUGUCGUGACCAGUGUAACCAGCCUCCAGCCUCUGAUACCUACAUUAAGAGGCUGUUAGGAGUGACUUUGGGGCACGGUGAGAAGCCUCCUACCGCGACGGACCCUCUGGAUAGAUGCCCUGGAGAUGAUGACGUUGCGGAGGAUGACACCGUCACUCGGCUACAUGGAGAAAACAACAUGAAUUCCAUCUAUAAAGUCCUCUCAGAUCUCCAGGAGUGGCUAAAGAGUAGAAGCUAGGGGUCCGCCUGGAAUUCAGCCCUACUUGUUGCUGGGGGCAGGCCUGUUAGCCACAGUCACUGUCCCCACCCUCAUGCAAGGGAUGACACUUUAUCAAAUACAUUUUAUUUCCGGUGUAAAUGUGCUUAUUUAUUCAAUUAUUUGUAAUAACUUAUGUAAUGUGUAAUCUAUAUUUUAGUGAUGUUGCUAUAUUGACACAUGGUAAAAGAUGCAGUUCUCAGUGUGGUAGCUGGUGAAUGGCGUGAAUAAAGAGAGCAUGUUGAACUUA